RNAcentral lists this long non-coding RNA (17615 nucleotides) under Podarcis lilfordi (Lilford's wall lizard). The stretch from base 9280 to 9352 matches the Rfam family "tRNA". The record is from RNAcentral. Lineage: Eukaryota; Metazoa; Chordata; Lepidosauria; Squamata; Lacertidae.
UGUGUUGUCAGGAAAGACCAUUUUGCCGGCAUUUUGGCUUUCUCUCCUUCCGACGCCUUCGACCCCGUCUCCAUUCACAACUUUUGAAAUCCGGCUUUCGUAAGAGAUGGCUUCCCAGGAGUCGAGAGCGAUGACUCCCUCUAAUAGUGAACAGGGGUGGUGAGUGUCGAUGGACAUGGAGGCUGAACAUGUUUGAUGAUAAGCCAGAGGGCCGUAUCAAGCAGGCUGCGAGGGAGGGAGGGGAAACACCUGAGAUCAAAAUCAAAACACUAAUGAUCUCUAAAGGCAGGAAGCAAAACUGCCCCACUAAAAAUAAAAACAGCCCAAAGGACUGAGCAUUCUCAAGAGCCACAAAAUGUUGCCACUUGGAAAAGGAAAGUGGAAAAAUGGGAGGGUGUAGGAAUGGAACAUUCUGGGAAAGGGGCAUGGCUAGCUGGCUGGCAGAAACCCUGAGCAGGAAUACUCCCAUAAAGUGUUAUGCAAUAUAUCAGAGCAUUUCAUGUAGGUUUCAUUUGUGACAUACCCAGAAUACUGCAGUCGUUGGCAGUGUCCGGGCAGAAAUCAGCAAAAAUGGCUGGGAAGAUUCGGACGUCGGACGUAUGGCAACCCAACUUUGCCCAAAAAAGCUCAACAACUUUUGUGUUCAGAUUUUCACUUUUUGAAAUACCUUGGAAGUCAAACGGAAUCCAUUCCGGGUCAUGUGGCCAGCAUAACUAAGUCACUUCUGGCAAAGCAGAGCAGUGCACGGAAAUGCCAUUUACCUUCCCACCAGAGCGGUACCUAUUUAUCUACUUGCACUUUGACGUGCUUUCGAACUGCUAAGUUGACAGGAGCAGGGACCGAGCAACGGGAGCUAACCCCGUCGCGGGGAUUUGAACCGCCAACCUUCUGAUUGGCAAGCCCAAGAGGCUCAGUGGUUUAACCCACAGCGCCACCUGUGUCCCGCAAAAUAUAAAUUUUGUUAAAGAAAACAAAUAUGGUUUUCCAGACCUCUCCUUAAAGGGAGGCUCAAAAGAUGGUGACAAAAGAGAGGGCCUUUUCAGUUGCGGCUCCCCAUCUACUAGAGACUGCCACCUGUGCUUGCAUUCCUCGCCAACCCCAUCUGACCCCCACCAAACUCAACACCCCUCCCUUCACAUCUCACCCAAGCUCUCUUCCCCUCACAGUCCCUUAAAGCCCCCACAACUUAUUCAAGCCCCGCCCCCAUGUCCUCACAGUUCAUCUGUGUCCCUCCAUCCCUGAUCUAUUCGAAACUGUUGUUUAAAACUGCCAUUUUAAAACCUGCCUUCCCACUUGCUCCCCCGCCCAACUUCACGCAAAUCCCAGAUCGUGAUGCAGCACUACAAAUCCUCCAGUGGGGGGCUACGUGAUGACAGCCUUACAGUUUUUUAUAUAUAGGAAGAUAUGUAAGAUUGGAGGUGUUGUAGGAAAAUGUUGAUGCUUUAUGUGCAUUUUUCUAUGGGAUGAUGUAUUUAUGAUUAUUGUUUUUAAACAUUACGUUGCUUGGAAGCCUGUCAGGUAAACAAAGGACUAAUAAAUUUAAUAAAUAAUUUUAUUAAAAAUGUAAAGGGGUGAGAUGAGCGUACUGCCUCUCCUCGAAUGACCUUAGGCUACAAAGAACACUGCACUGUUAUUAUUAUUUUUAUUUUUAUCCCAGCUGAUUUUGCCCCACUUGGUACCAAGCUGAUUCCAUCUCGUGCAUCAGAUAAUUCUCUCUAAGGGAGCCCUUUGUCCACCGAGUCAGCAGCUGCCUCAAAUGGAGCGGGAACAAUCUAGGCAUUCUGCCCCAGCCAUCUUAAAAGGACACUCACUUCCUUUGAGUGCAAAACAAACCAGUGGGUGUGUCCAGCAGUUAUUUUCUUUUCGGUCCAAAGUUAUUGGGUUGUAGUCAAUGCUAGUCCUACUCAGAGUAGACCCGCUGAAAUCAAGGGGCUUAACCUAGUCAUGCUCAUGACUUUCAGUGGGUCUACUCUGCAUAGCCACAAAGGCUACGCUGUUCCUCCAUGGUUAGAGGCAGUGAUGCUUAUGCUGGGAAUUACAGGUAGGCAGUGUGCUCUUGUGCCAAGAAUUGUAAGUUGGAAGGAGUUCAGAGGGUCAUCUAAUCCAAGACACUGCAAUGCAGGAGUCUAUGGUUCUCUGUUCCUAUUUUGGCAAAGUAAUAAUCAUAAAUAGGUAAAGGUAAAGGGACCCUUGACCAUUAGGUCCAGUUGUGACCGACUCUGGGGUUGCGGCGCUCAUCUCACUUUACUGACCGAGGCAGCCGGCGCACAGCUUCCGGGUCAUGUGGCCAGCAUGACUAAGCCGCUUCUGGCGAACCAGAGCAGCACACGGAAACGCCGUUUACCUUCCCGCCAGAGCGGUACCUAUUUAUCUACUUGCACUUUGACGUGCUUUUGAACUGCUAGGUUGGCAGGAGCAGGGACCGAGCAACGGGAGCUCACCCCGUCACGGGGAUUCAAACCGCCGACCUUCUGAUCGGCAAGUCCUAGGCUCUGUGGUUUAACCCACAGCGCCACUCACGUCCCAACUUAUUCAGUCUAGCCCUUUCAAAAAGGUCUUCUCCUGAAAUUGUUAUUAGUCCUGGUUUGAGGGUCAUGGCGCCUACAUGUGACUUGGAAAGUGUUCUGAGUGCCUGAUAGAAUCAUAUAGUUGGAAGGGAUUAUUAGGGUCAUUUAGCCAAACCGGUUCCAAUGCAGGAAUCUUUCACCCAACAUGGGGCUUGAACCCAUGAGCCUGAGAUUAAGAGUCUCAUGCUUUACCGACUGAGCUAUCCCAGGCCUACCCUUGUUUUCAUAAACAGAAAACAGCACUACCCCACCACCAAGACCAUUCCAUUGUAACUACCCAACCUCCCAAAAUUUCAACACCUCUCGUGAUGGUUUGACCCCUUUCCAUUUUAACAGUACAAAUUCUACAAACAGCCUCCAUAUCUCCUCAAAAUCAUUUCUCCUGCAUAUUCCCCGUCUUACCUUAACGGUACACGUGAAUUUGUCAUUAAUAGCUAUAUCCCACACCUCUUUAUGCCAUUCUUCCAUUUUAUAUUCACCUUGCCCCUUCCACUUCCUAGCUAUAACAAUUUGUGCAGCUGUCAAUAAAUUUGUGAGCAAGUCCUUCAUAGCCUGCAAACCUUCCACCCCAUCAUAAAUUGAUAAUAAUGCUACCUCUGGACUUUUGGUCAGCUUUAACCCAGUGAUUUCUGUUAUCUCCUCAAACACCCUUUGCCAAAAUAAUUGUACACAUUUACACCCCGACCACAUGUAAACAUGUGACGCAGGUGGCACUGUGGGUUAAACCACUGAGCCUAGGACUUGCCGAUCGGAAGGUCAGCGGUUUGAAUCCCCGCGACAGGGUGAGCUCCCGUUGCUCAGUCCCUGCUCCUGCCAACCUAGCAGUUCAAAAGCACGUCAAAGUGCAAGUAGAUAAAUAGGUACCGCUCUGGCAGGAAGGCAAACCGCAUUUCUGUGCGCUGCUCUGGUUCGCCAGAAGCGGCUUAGUCAUGCUGGCCACAUGACCCGGAAGCUGUACGCCGGCUCCCUCGGCCCAUAAAGCGAGAUGAGCGCCUCAAGCCCAGAGUCGGUCACGACUGGACCUAAUGGUCAGGGGUCCCUUUACCUUUACCUUUUACACAUGUGAACAUAAUUCCCUGUUUCCUGGCAUCCCCCCUCCUUCCUGGUUAUGUUAUUAUUCUUAUUGUUGAAGAUAUCGUAUACACCCCAGCAUACUAAGGGGCUGUUUGUGGUUUUCAACCCUUUUUUGCUUAACCACCCCCCCCAAAAAAUAAAUCCUGUAAUCUGUUGCAGUAGAACCGCCACCCGCUCUCCCUGCCCCCACACAAAAUGAGAAAGAGAAGAGAGAGGGGAAACUAGUAAUUCAUUUAACAGUUGCCACAUUUCGAAUUACAAAACUUCCCAAAGGGAAGCGGAAAACCUCCAGUUUUAAACAGACCAGCUGAUGAUGAAAGCGCACAUAAUAUUUCAACAGAGCAGAUAUAUAAGCAUACAGCACAGGCGUUCUCUGCACAACAACAUCUACCAACCAGGAAAUUGGAUAAGGAAAUGAGACAGUAACCAGGGGCUCACAUCAACCGCUGGCUGCUGACUUCUCAGGCAGACAGGCCUUCUCACCUCCCAAAAUUAAUACUAGACUCUGGUGCUCAUCCCAAGAAGCAACUAAUGAGUUUUAGCCCUGUGCAAAUUAAAAACCCUCUCCCUUUUUGCAGAAUUCUGUUCUUCCACUAGAGGGGUGCACCGGACUGCAAUACAGGCAGCUAACACCUCCCCGUCCUUUGUCAAUCUUCCGUCUACUAAAUUAGCCAGACCUUUGUUUGAUUGUUUUCCAGACAGGGUUCUGUGGAAGGCUCCCCAGGAUGGUCUGUGAAGCAUUGUCAUUCUGGGUGAAAUACUUAUUACCACAUUUUUCUUCAGUUUCUUGGUUUGCAUGGGGCAGGGAGAAAAGAGGGAUCAGGUUCUGAACAAUAUCAUGACCACACAACAAGGGUCCCUUAACCAAAAGAAGAAGAAAAGGGAUUGAGAACCAAAACAACUGAAUUUUGUUUGCAGGAUGUUCGGAAUUAAUAACUUUGUGGAAGAGCAUUUUAGGGAAGAGAAACGUUUGUCCUGGAAUAUAUCCAUGAACGGUGGCAAUGAAUGUGACCUGCCUUGGAUGGGGGGGGGCAUGUGUAAAAACUUCAGAAGGUCACAAGGCUUGAAGGUGACAUACUGCACAAAGGCGAUAUUCACAUACCGUCCAACUUUUUCAAAUCUAAAAUCAGGAAGCGCAUAUUCUGGGAUGUACUCUCAGGCAGCUCACGUGACCCACACGACGAUCUCAGCCCAAAAAAGUGCUUGGGGGGGGCACAAUCUCACACGGCACCAGAAACCACACAUUUUGGGGUGGUUUUUUUCCGACAUGAGAGCGCACGAGAUCGGGGAACCCAAAAUGGCCACCGCGAUCUCGCACGAAAAAAAUGGGAUGCCCCCUUUUUCUGGGACACUCAUGGCUUCCCUUAAGGGGGUGCAGUUUUUAAGGGUGCUGAGAGUUGUUAGGGAGAAAGACCCCUUUGAGGAGGGACAGGGGGUGGGGUUAAGCCACUCUGGGAAUUGUAGCUCUGAGAGAGGAUUAAGGGUCUCUUAACAACUCUCAGCACCCUUAAUAAACACCCUGAAUCCAUUGGGUGGAGUCAUUCAAAGUGGACUGUUCAAAGUGGUAUCAUAGUGCUUUAUAUGGAUAGUGUUGAUGAGGUUAAAGAAAAUCUGUUGCUCCAUCCACUUUCUACCUCAGACUGUAGCCUUUGGGCCAAAAAUAUUCCCCAUCCCCAACACACAAGGAGGGGGCAUUGCAAUACAAUCUUGAAGGAACAUCAGAAGCCCAGAGUGGCAAGGGCAACCAAGUCAGGUGGGCAGGGUGCAAAUGAAUUAUUAUUAUUAUUAUUAUUAUUAUUAAGUUGCUUUAUCCUGAACCAAGCCAUUGUUCCAGCUAGCCAGGGCCCCCAUGAGCCCUUGAAAGAUUUUGGUGCCCCCCUGUAUAUCUAAUUCAAAAUAUAAACAGAGGAUUGGAGAAGAUCAGUCUACAUCCCAAUCCCAAAGAAGGGACGUGCCAAAGAAUGCUCCAACUACCGCACAAUUGCACUAAUUUCACACGCUAGCAAGGUUAUGCUUAAAAUUCUACAAGGAAGGCUUAAGCGGUAUGUGGACCGAGAACUCCCAGAAGUGCAAGCUGGAUUUCGAAGGGGCAGAGGAACCAGAGACCAAAUUGCAAACAUGCACUGGAUUAUGGAGAAAGCUAGAGAGUUCCAGAAAGACAUCUACUUCUGCUUCAUUGACUAUGCAAAAGCCUUUGACUGUGUCGACCACAGCAAACUAUGGCAAGUUCUUAAAGAAACGGGAGUGCCUGAUCACCUCAUCUGUCUCCUGAGAAAUCUCUGUGUGGGACAAGAAACUACAGUUAGAACUGGAUAUGGAACAACUGAUUGGUUCAAAAUUAGGAAAGGAGUACGGCAAGGCUGUAUAUUGUCUCCCUGCUUAUUUAACUGAUAUGCAGAAUUCAUCAUGCGAAAGGCUGGGCUGGAUGAAUCCCAAGCCGGAAAUAAGAUUGCCGGAAGAAAUAUCAACAACCUCAGAUAUGCAGAUGACACAACCUUGAUGGCAGAAAGUGAGGAGGAAUUAAAGAACCUUUUAAUGAGGGUGAAAGAGGAGAGCACAAAAUAUGGUCUGAAGCUCAACAUCAAAAAACGAAGAUCAUGGUCACUGGGCCAAUCACCUCCUGGCAAAUAGAAGGGGAAGAAAUGGAGGCAGUGAGAGAUUUUACUUUCUUGGGCUCCAUGAUCACUGCAGAUGGUGACAGCAGUCACGAAAUUAAAAGACGCCUGCUCCUUGGGAGAAAGGCGAUGGCAAACCUAGACAAUAUCUUAAAAAGCAGAGACAUCACCUUGCCAACAAAGGUCCGUAUAGUAAAAGCCAUGGUUUUCCCAGUAGUGUUGUCACUGGAAGGACAGAUCAUGAAGCUGAGGUUCCAAUACUUUGGCCACCUCAUGAGAAGAGAAGACUCCCUGGAAAAGACCCUGGAAAAGACCCUGAUGUUGGGAAAGAUGGAGGGCACAAGGAGAAGGGGACGACAGAGGACGAGGUGGCUGGACAGUGUUCUCAAAGCUACCAGCAUGAGUUUGACCAAACUGCAGGAGGCAGUGGAAGACAGGCGUGCCUGGCGUGCUCUGGUCCAUGGGGUCACGAAGAGUCGGACACGACUAAACGACUAAACAACAACAACAAAAAUAAAAUCCUGAAAUGAAGCAAAACCUACAGCAAGAUGGAAAAAAGUUUGUUUUUGUAUACUUCCACUUUAUUUAUAUUCAAAAAUAAAUUCUUCUUUUUCUAAUUGCAAAGUCUUUGAUCAGAUCCUCAAAAGCAGGCCUCCUCAAACUCAGCCUUCCAGAUGUUUUUGAGACUACAGUUCCCAUCAUCCCUGACCAUUGGUCCUGCUAGCUAAGUAUCAUGGGAGUUGUAGCCAAAAACAUCGGGAGGGCCCAGUUUGAGGAAGCCUGCUCAAAAGUAAUCUUGCAUAACACAUCUGCAUCUAUACUUAGUGGAGAGGAAGCAGCCAGCCAGCCUUGUUGCAUAGUUGUUCUGUUGGGAUUUUUAAUAUACUUCAACUGAGAAAAUGAAAGCUCAGCUGAGUGAUUUGUGACCAUUAAUGUUAAAAAUCCAGCAACAGGGAAUUUCUGCAGUGCCCUCCUUUCCCUGAUGCCCAAAGCACAUGCUUAUUUUGCUUAAUGGUUAAUCCAGCCUUGCAUCUAACCCUAUAUUAUCUACACAGAAUGGCAGCAGUUCCCCAGGGUUCCAGAAGUGGUCCUCUCCCAGGUGGGGACUGAACCUGGGCUCUUUUGUCUGCUUUGCCACUAAGCUUCAGUGGUACCUCUGGUUGCGAACGGGAUCCGUUCCGGAGGCCCGUUCGCAACAUGAAAACAGCACAACCUGAAGCGCCGUAUCUGCGCAGGUGCGCGGCGCGAUCUAGCACUUGUGCGCAUCCGUGAAACGUGAUUUAGUGCUUCUGCGCAUGCGCGAGCGGCGAAACCCGGAAGUAACCCUUUCCGGUACUUAACAUGAAGCAAACGUAACAUGAGGUGUGACUGUACUGCCCUUUCCCCGUAGCUCUUCUGACAGUGAUACAGUAGCUGGCCCAGUGCUGGAUUUACGUAUAAGCUAAACAAGCUAUAGCUUAGGGCCCCACUCUCUUGGGGCCCCCCCAAAAAAAUUAAAGGGGAAAAAACUGGAUGUACAUUUCCAAAAUAUAAGAUAAAAAACAAAUAAAAUUAAACCCACAUACAGCAACAGUGUUUUGUGUUGUGUAGGCUCCUAUGAUGUAAGUAAUGGGCCCCGCCUGCUAGCCUGCUCCCUAAAAUAUCACUGGUAAUUAUUUCACUAUUAAUAUACUUCUUCUUCAUUGUAUUUCACUAUUAAUAUACUUCUUCUUAAUUGUAUUUUAGUUCAACAAUUACUUUGAUAAAAUACAUAUUUUGUUAUGUACAAAUGGCUUUAGAUACCUGUUAGGUCCAUCAAUUACCAUAUACAGUGGUGCCCCGCAAGACGAAUGCCUCGCAAGACGGAAAAACCGCUAGACGAAAUGGUUUUCCGUUUUGAAGUUGCUUCGCAGGACGAAUUCCCCUAUGGGCUUGCUUCGCAAGACGAAAAUACCUUGCGAGUCCUGAGAUUUUUUUUUCGCUUUUCCCCCUUUAUCUAAUCUGCUAAGCCUUUAAUAGCCUUUUAGCAGCUAAUCCCUAAGCCUUUAAGCCUUUAAUAGCCGCUAAACAGCUGAUAGCGCUAAUAGCGCUAAUCCGUCAAUGGGCUUGCUUCGCAAGACGAAAAAACCGCUAGACGAAGACUCUUGCGGAACGGAUUAAUUUCGUCUUGCGAGGCACCACUGUAGCAUAUAUUCAACACAAAAAAGCAGUGACAAUUUGUUGUUGACAAAGGACAGCUGGACAUAUAAAGGGCCCCAUUACCUUCAGUAGCUUAGGGCCUCAUCCAACCUAAAUCCAGCCCUGGGCUGGCCCAAGGCAAGUCAUGUACAGUGGUACCUCUGGGUAUGUACUUAAUUUGUUCCAGAGGUCCGUUCUUAACCUGAAACUGUUCUUAACCUGAAGCACCACUUCAGCUAAUGGGGCCUCCUGCUGCCACCAUGCCACCGGAGCACGAUUUCUGUUCUCAUCCUGAAGCAAAGUUCUUAACCCGAGGUACUAUUUCUGGGUUAGCGGAGUCUGUAACCUGAAGCAUAUGUAACCCGAGGUACCACUGUAUUCCAAUUUCCACGGUGGAGAUGCAAAAUAGAGUUGGGGUUUUUUUCCCCUCAAGGACUCCACAAGAGUUGGCCUCCCUCCAGCUGAAGCUGCCCGUGACCUCGAGGGGAACAAAUUUUGGUAUGAAGUGACAAGUAUUAUGUUCCUGAGCCAGCAAUAUCAAAGCAGCCGAACGACAACAAAAAGACACGCACACCGAGGCCCGGACACAUAAUACAAAUGUGCAUCCUCCUUUCCGAUCCAGGGCAAAAUGAAAACAACCGCCCUUUUGUCUUCUAUCCUUGGCAGAGUGAAAUCAAAGGAGCCUGGAAGCGCUUUGUCUCCAUCUGACAUGUUGAGUGCAGACAUGUUUGGGAGGUGGCAGUUUUAUGAAAGGGUGAAUUAUUUUACCCAAACGAGCCGUCGGUCAGCUGAACUGUACACUUGAGGCCCUCGGUGCUGGGAGCACAAGCCUUAUAUUGAGUCUUUCAGGCCCUUGGGUCCAGGGAAGGGCUGUAGCUCAGUGCUAGAGCGCAUCACAUGGCACACAGAAGGUCCUGGGUUCAAAUCUCGGCAUCUCCAGGUAGGGCUGGGAAUGUCCUCUGCUUGAACCCCUCAGAGAUCUACAAUUUCCAGAGUGUUUUAUCAGUCAAUGCCUCUUCCCAGGGAAUUCUGGGAUUUGUAGCAAUUUAAGAAGAAUAGGGACGCAGGUGGCGCUGUGGGUUAAACCACAGAGCCUAGGACUUGCUGAGCAGAAGGUCAGCGGUUAGAAUCCCUGUGACAUGGUGAGCUCCCGUUGCCCGGUCCCUGCUCCUGCCAACCUAGCAGUUCGAAAGCAUGCCAGUGCAAGUAGACAAAUAGGUACCACUCCAGCAGGAAGGUAAACGGCGUUUCCGUGCGCUGCUCUGGUUUGCCAGAAGUGGCUUAGUUAUGCUGGCCACAUGACCCGGAAGCUGUACGCCGGCUCCCUCGGCCAAUAAAGCAAGAUGAGCACCGCAACCCCAGAGUCGGCCACGACUGGACCUAAUGGUCAGGGUCCCUUUACCUUUACCUAAGAAGAAUAGAGUUUUCCUAACAACUCUCAACACCCUUAAGAAAUUACAUUUCCCAGGGGAAUAGCUCUGACUGUUUAAAGUGGUGUGAUGGUGCUUUAAAUGUAUGGUGUGCCAUUUUGAAUAUCAUCAUUGUUUUCUAACAUAAAUCUCUCGCGUUUCUUCCACCAUGUACUCGUUGCAGCCCACAUGCUCUUAGAGUUAAUCAAUAAAUAGAUCUGAACAAGACUGGUGAAAAUUCAAGGAACUUCGGAAUAGUAAACAGAAGACAAUUAACUACAAUUAACUGUAGUCUUUCUGCCAUUUUUAUGAGAAAGUAUGGCAUCUUAAAAAGCAGAGACAUCACCUUGCCGACAAAGGUCCGUAUGGUUAAAGCUAUGGUUUUCCAGUAGUGGUGUAUGGAAGUGAGAGAUGGACCAUAAAGAAGGCUGAUCGUAGAAGAAUUGAUGGAAGGCACAAGGAGAAGGGGACGACAGAGGACGAGAUGGUUGGAUAGUGUUCUCGAAGCUACCAGCAUGAGUUUGACCAAACUGCGGGAGGCAGUGGAAGACAGGAGUGCCUGGCGUGCUCUGGCCCAUGGGGUCACGGAGAGUCAGACACGACUAAGCGACUAAACAACAACAAUGGCUUCACCCGAAAUGACCAACAUUUUGAAGCUCAGAAUAGCAAUACAGUGGUACCUCAGGUUAAGUACUUAAUUCGGAGCACGAUUUCUGUUCUCAUCCUGAGGCAAAGUUCUUAACCUGAGGUAUUAUUUCUGGGUUAGCGGAGUCUGUAAGCUGAAGCGUAUGUAACCUGAAGCGUAUGUAACCCAAGGUACCACUGUAUUAACUUUAUCAUAAGUUCACUUCUUUUAAUAGGUAUUUGUUACUCCACUUCUGUACUUAAUAUUAUUUUAAAUGGGAUUUGGACAAGGAUUUAUCCACAGGCUAUUUUUUAAUAACAUUAUGUUAUUCUAUUUCCCAGGAGUUGCAUUCUCUUAAUCUCCAAAUGAAAUAAUUUUUAAAGAUAAUGAUAAAGGCGACCAAAAAGGGGAAGGUCUGUGCCUUCCUUCUCGUCGCACUUAACAUACCAAAAAAAAAAAUGAAGAGUGUGUCGCUCCCAUGGCAACCAUUUGCUUGUUCCCAAUCUCAGCGUGUGCCUCUUAUUUGGCAACCGCGCCUCACACUCCUCCUAAAGAACUAAGCCCUUGGCACUGCCAACAGAUGUCAAAGGCUUUGGAUUGGGCUCCCUCGCUCUGCGUUACACCAGCGACCCUGUUUGCCCUCCAGAAAGGUCCACUGAAGGCUCAAAAGGAAGAUGGCACUCUCUCCAGAGUUGCCUCGGUGUCAGCAUGGCACUGCCAGUUUCCCUGGGUGCUGGGUGGGCACGCUUGGCACACAACUCUAGAGCUAGCAAUGACCAGACGUAAGCCACAUUCACACCGUACGUUGGAUUUCCCCCAAAAGAAUUCUGGGAGCUGUAGUUUGUUAGGGGUGCUGAGAGUUGUCAGGAGACCCCUGUGUUUCCCUCACAGAGCUACAAUUCCAGAGCACACUCGGAAGAGGGGUUGAUUGUUAAACCAUAAGGGUUUGGGGAUGGGUUAGUCUACGCCAGUGAUGGCCAAAAUUGGCCCUCCAGCUGUUUUGGGACUACAACUCCCAUCAUCUAACAGGAACAGUGGUCAGGGAUGAUGGGAAUUGUAGUCCCAAAAUAGCUGGAGGGCCGAGUUUGGCCAUCGCUAGUCUACGAUUUCUCCAUCUCUUUUUCUUUCUUCGCCUGAACUGCAACGGAAAUCAUCCUUCUUUCUCAACGCCAGAAUUUCACAACUCUGCCAAGUCUGUUGCUCAAGCCCGCUUCAUUUGGGGUCAAGCAAGUUCUCUUUUCUCAGGAUUCGUGGUUCCUCUUUCAUUCGAGCAUCAUCUAUGCAAAUGGCUAUCUGAAUUCUCCAAGGUCCAACCCUCAGGUAACCAAAACGGCAGUGCCCCUCCACGGGAGGAAGGUUUCGGCAGGCUUGGGGAACAAGAGCCCAAGGUUUCUAGAAGCACAAAAACUAUUUUUCCGGGGGUGGGAGUGCAACUAAGCAGGAAAGCGACUCCUGAACAGCCCAAUGGCUGCAGCGCAGGUUCAGUUGGCGUGGAAUUGUGACUGACGUUUGGAGUGGUGGAGGCAACGGAAUGGAGUAUCCUGAAAAAGGGUGGUGACUGACCAGUGCAAUAGCAGGUCAGGAAAUGCAACAGCUGUAUACUGUCUGUACUUUGUUAUAUAAUAAAAAAAAAGUUUGUGAGCAGCCUGGAGGACUUCAUUGAUCGACAAAAGAGAAAUGUCAUAAAUAAAAAUAAUUAGUGGCAUGGAGGUUUUUUAAAAAAAUAGAAAAGGGUGGUGAUCUAUAGCCCCCCCCCCCAUUGGUCUUACUAUUACAUUUGUAAGUUGCUCUGGGUCACUUUUGUGAGUAAAGCAAUUAAUAAAUAUUAUUGAUAAUAAGCAGUUGGCUCCUUACCUCUCUCGCCAUGACCUAGCCACUGUGAUCCACGCGACAGUCACCUCCAGACUGGAUUAUUGUAACUCGCUCUAUGUGGGGCUGCCCUUGAGACUAACCCAGAAACUCCAGCGGGUGCAGAAUGCUGUGGUGAGACUCCUUACGGGGUCCUCACUGCGAGAUCACAUUCACCCGUGCUAUACCAGCUGCACUGGCUCCCGGUGGAGUACAGGAUCAGGUUCAAGGUGCUGGUUUUAACCUUUAAAGCCCUAUACGGCCUAGGACCCUCGUACCUACAGGACUGCCUCUCCUGGUAUGUCCCACAGAGGAACUUACGGUCUUCAAACCAAAAUAUCCUGAAGGUCCCAGGCCACAGAGAGGUUAGGCUGGCCUCAACCAGAGCCAGGGCUUUUUCGGCAGUGGCUCCGAUCUGGUGGAACGCUCUGUCACAAGAGAUUAGGGCCCUGCGGGACUUGACAUCUUUCCGCAGGGCCUGCAAGACAGACCUGUUCCACCAGGCCUUUGGUCAGGGCACAACCUGACUCCCUCCUUUGGGAAUCUUCAUAGAACUUUGGCCCAGUGGUUGCCAUCAAUUUGAUUUGAAUUACUUUUAUAAUGAAAUUAUUUUAGAAUGUUGAACUAUUUUAUUGUUGUUAGCCGCCCUGAGCCCGGCUUCGGCUGGGAAGGGCGGGAUAUAAAUAAAAUUUAUUAUUAUUAUUAUUAUUAUUAUUAUUACUGGAGGCCUUUACAGUCUGUAAAACGAGGGCUGAAAAUGGACUCGAUUCCAAUACACAUAUAAUUAGUAGAAGAAGAAAGAGCUACCAGAUGGAACUAGUUUUAGGAAGCUCAUUUCCUAACAGCUAAGCAGCCUAGAAAUUCCAAAUCUUCAAUGUACGAAUAUUUAGCAGAGGCGGGACAUAAAAACAUCAUGGCUGGCAGCCAAUGAUAGCUUUAAACUCCGUGAAUCUGUCAAAUUCUGUUUAGAAGAGCUCUGGUGGAAUAGGCCAAUGGCGUCUCUAGUCCAGCACCCUGUUCUUACAGUGGCCAACCAGAUGAGGAGCCCACAAGCAGGACUUGGACGCAGCAGAUGUCCUCUUGCCUCUCCCAGCAACUGUUAAUCAGGGGUCUACUGCCUCCGAUAGGGGAGUUGGAACAUCGCCGCCCUUGUGGCUGCUAGCUGUUAGUAACCUUCUCCUCCAGGAAUUUGUUUCCCCCUUGUUUUGGAAGCCAUCCAAGAUGGCGGCCAUAGCAACAUACCGUGGAUGCGAAUUCCAUCGUUUAACUCUGCACUGUGUGAAAAGGUCUGCCCUUCUGUCUGUCCCCAGUCUUCCAACGUCCAGGUUCCUUGUAUGGCUCCAAGUUCCAGUGAUUUGAGAGAGGCCUUUCCAGAAUUAUAGGGACAGAACUACCAAUUUUAUUUUAUUUUUUCUAUAUGCAUUUUUUUGUAUAUUAUAUAUAAUUGUAUAUAUAUACAGUGGUACCUUGGGUUACAUAUGCUUCAGGUUACAGACUCCACUAACCCAGAAAUAGUGCUUCAGGUUAAGAACUUUGCUUCAGGAUAAGAACAGAAAUCAUGCUCUGGCGGUGCGGCGGCAGCAGGAGGGCCCAAUAGCUAAAGUGGUCUUCAGGUUAAGAACAGUUUCAGGUUAAGAACGGACCUCCGCAACGAAUUAAGUACUUAACCCGAGGUACCACUGUAAUUGUAUAGAAAUUGUAUAUAUAUAUCAUUGUAUAGAAACUUAUUCAUGUAUGCAACUACAGCGGCAAGAAUGUUACUUGCCCAAAAAUGAAAAUAAGAAGAUGUCUGAGAUGUUUUUGGUUGGGAUGUGAGUGAGGAGAGGAAAAGAAUUUGGUUCAGUUCACAUUCCAAGGUGAACCUACCUAACAGACCGUUUCUGAAACAACACAAUCUGAAGCACAGCCGUCCUUCAAUGUUUGCUCUUCCCUGGAUUUGCAGUGCAGUUCUCAACCCAAGUAACGGGUGCAACAAUGCAUGGACUGGGGUAAAUUGUGCCUAAAAAGGCAUAUAUUCAUGACAAUAACAUACAAAAACGUGCUGUGCUAGGGGGAAUUGCGUGCAAACAGGAGAUUAUUGGGAGAAAUUCGCCUAAAAAUGCUGGUUAAUUUUCAUGAGGACCUUUUUUUAAAAAAAAAAUGCAGACUGAUGUGGAAAUGUGGAGAACUCAGCUGUAGAUCACAGACAUCGUGCCUCCAGCCCAGCCCAUGCAGACAGAGGUUAUUAUGUGCAAGCAAUAAAUAAAUCUGCAUUUAGGCAAGGAGCCUAAAUACAUGCCUUGCAGCAAAGUAUUUCAGAGGAGGCCUGCGACAUACCCUCCAACAUUUCCCUGAUGAAAAUAGGGGCAUCCUAUUUAAUAAUAAUUAAUUAAUAAUUAACGGGUGGCACUGUGGGUUAAACCACAGAGCCUAGGGCUUGCCGAUCAGAAGGUUGGCGGUUCGAAUCCCCGCGACGGGGUGAGCUCCUGUUGCUCGGUUCCUGCUCCUGCCCACCUAGCAGUUCGAAAGCACAUCAAAGUGCAAGUAGAUAAAUAGGUACCACUCUGGCGGGAAGGUAAACGGCAUUUCCGCGCGCUGCUCUGGUUCGCCAGCAGCGGCUUAGUCAUGCUGGCCACACGACCCGGAAGCUGUACGCCGGCUCCCUCGGCCAAUAAAGCGAGAUGAGCACCACAAUCCCAGAGUUGGCCAUGACUGGACCUAAUGGUCAGGGGUCCCUUUACCUUUACCCUUAAGGAAAAAACAGGACAUUCCAAGAACAAAUCAGAAUACUGUUGUGGGCAGAAGAAUGCAAUGGAAUUUGCAGCCCCCCACUCUGCAAUGUUUUGUUGUGAGUCUCACUUGUAAGAAUGCAAGAGCAGCCCCACCGGAUCAGGCCAACGACCCAUCUAGUCCAGCAUCCUGUUCUCACAGUGGCCAGUUAGAUGCUUAUGGGAUGCCUGAAAUCAGGACCUGGCUGCUACAGCAACUCUUCCCACGUUGCUGGGAAUUGCGAGGCAUACUGCCUCCGACAGUGCACAGCUACGUUAUCCCGUUUCUGUGGGGCAACUGGGGGAGCGGGCUGUUGCCUCCAUGCUCUGCUUGCCAGUUUCCCAGAAGCAUCUGGCUUUCCACUGUGGGAAACAGGAUGCGGGACUUAAUGGCAAUUUGGCGUGAUCCAGCCAGGCUCGUCUAAUAUUCAAAAUUCCUAAUGCAAGCUGAGUUGCAUGAGAAAGCGAGCUCACCACAGCCUCAAGAGCCCCUCAAGAGUCAGCACGUGAAUCAAUCUUUUCACAUCGAGAGAGUGUGGGUGUGAGGACGCACCGGUUUAACACAUUUAUAUCCUGUCGUUCUCCCGUCACAAGUGGACUCUGCAACAAAAUGUUGCAGCAUGACAAAAUAACAAAAAUAAAAACAAGCAACAGCAAACACAACAGCAAACAAACAAACAAAACUGUAAAUAAAAACAAUAUCAAAUCCAUAAAAUGGGAUUCUCCGAAUCCCAUGACUUUCCUCCCCUGGUUCCUUAAUUCUCUUUUUCAACUGCAUAUCAUUUCUACUCCAAAUUAUUUUUCUCCCUCACAUUUCUUACAUUAUUUCUAAAAUUACAAGUGUUCUUAAAAUCCUGCCAGUGUAUUAACCUGUUUACAAUACUUUUGUAAGUACAUAACAAACAUUUCCCAUUCUUUUUUAAAUUUCUUGUCCUCUUCGUUUCUGAGCUUUCCAUUUAAUUUAGUCCAUUUAAAAAUAAAAAUAAAAUGUUGCAGCAUGAAGUGCUGCAGUUCUGCAUUCUAGGCCCUUCAUUCUUUUCCCAUACCUCCAUUUUAAACUUUUACUUCCUCCUCCUGCUUACGCCCCAUGAAAUCCGCGCUUCCAUCUCCAUUCCCCCAACAAACACCUCUCGAGGCCCCCAAAUACUGGCGUCAAGAGCAUGAACAAAAUCUGCAUGCAACUCUGGAAACUCAGAAGUCAAAUUUUCUUUAGGUGCGGGAAAUUGUCAACAGAGCAGAAGGGAAACAUAAGCGCUUGCACACUUUCCAAAGAUCUCAUGUUGCGCAACUUAUUUUACCCGUUUUUGCCAAGGAAGAAAAAGAGACCUUUCAGAACGUCGCUUGGUCUGCCUGCUAUAAUUAUUACUUUAAUCUGGUUCAGCAAGGCCAGUGAAGUUCAUAGCUCCUGGGUUCGGAAUACAAAUCUGUCCAGCUUGAAACACCCGAUUACAUCCAGUGUGAACAGAGUGCCAUUUUCCUGAAACAGUUCUCCAGUGUCGUGGACUGGCUGGACACAGAGGGAUGGUGGAGGCACUAGCUGGGCCACCUCCCAAGGGAUGAAGGCUCAGAGCCUAGGGGUUGGUGGUGCGACAAGGAUGAGUGGUCAGAGGGAGAAGAGGGAAGGAGCAGACUGGGAGGAAGAGGUAUCAGAAGUGGUAACAAGAUUUAGUGAGCAAGAAGCAGCUGUGGUAGAGAGACCUCCAGAAUCAGAGGCAGAAGUGGAAGCAGAAGAAAAAGAGGGAGGCCAAGAAACAGAGAGGAGUCAGGCUGGUGAAGAAGCCAGGGGGUCUCCCCCUCCUGCUGCGAUCAGCUCCCUUUCCACCAGUCUGCCAGAACCAGAAGAGGUAUGAAGAAGGAGGAGCAGAGGCAGGCACUCUGGCAAAGUCUCAGAUUGCUUGGGAAGGACCCAGGAGAUGAGGAAGCUUAGGCAGCUGUGGGAAGGUGUGGGCCUUCAUGUCAUGAAAUUCUACUUAGUAUUGAUCCAGAGUAGAUUCCAAUGUAUAUUUAGCAGAGUAACAACUUAAACAAGUUGCAGGAUUCCCAUGUAUUUCAUCCAGCAGAACUUUACCGCUACUGAAGGCAAAUGAGCGUAAUGGUCACAAGUCCAAUACAUUCAGGAUUGGCACUGCCCAUAAGAAAUCCAGUUGCAGCAGACUUAACUUAAACUUACAAUAACUUACAAUAAGUAUAAACCUUAACACUAAGCAUAUUGUGUACAGAACACCACACCAGAAGGCAAAGAGAUAGAAAGAGAACGUGAAACCCAGGCUCCUCCUGGUCCUACUUUUAUAGGCAGCAUGACCUUGAUUAAAAGAGAUAACAGAACCAGUUUAAAUCAGCUGCACUUGGCUUCUCUGAAGGAAUAACCAAAAAAUCUUGAACCUUCUGAUUGCUUCUUUCACACAGAGAAGCUUCCAGAAACUUCCAGAACCCUCUUGAAAUCAGAAUAGGAAAGAUCUCUACACAUCAGAUCAAUACUUUCUGCACUAAGAAAUGCAAACUGACACUUCAGUCCACACAACUGCCUCAUGGGCGCAAGAUCUUCCGGGGAAAGUUGCUCUGCUCAUUCGGCC